Molecule: microRNA precursor, 255 nt
Filed under: Camelina sativa (false flax)
Lineage: Eukaryota; Viridiplantae; Streptophyta; Magnoliopsida; Brassicales; Brassicaceae
Description: miR857 stem-loop (cas-MIR857)
Gene: cas-MIR857
Source: miRBase by way of RNAcentral
UACAACAAACUUUCACCAUACAAAAUAAUAAAUAAAAAACACCCAAGAAAAAGUUUGAAUGUACAAAGGUUAGUCUUAUUAACGUAAUUGUGAUCAUUUUUGUUAAAAAUAGUGACGUCGUUUUUUUAUUUUUUUUUAAAAAUAGGAAAUGUCACUAUUUUAAAUGGAAAUCGAACAUGUCUAUUGACGAAAUUAACGUUGAGCAUUUGAACUUUUAAUUGAGUAUGUUAUUUUGUAUGUUGAAGGUGUAUUGUA